GACGAACGCUGGCGGCGUGCUUAACACAUGCAAGUCGAACGGAAAGGCCCUGCUUUUGUGGGGUGCUCGAGUGGCGAACGGGUGAGUAACACGUGAGUAACCUGCCCUUGACUUUGGGAUAACUUCAGGAAACUGGGGCUAAUACCGGAUAGGAGCUACUGCUGCAUGGUGGGGGUUGGAAAGUUUCGGCGGUUGGGGAUGGACUCGCGGCUUAUCAGCUUGUUGGUGGGGUAGUGGCUUACCAAGGCUUUGACGGGUAGCCGGCCUGAGAGGGUGACCGGCCACAUUGGGACUGCGGUACGGCCCAGUCUCCUACGGGAGGCAGCAGUGGGGAAUAUUGCACAAUGGGCGGAAGCCUGAUGCAGCAACGCCGCGUGCGGGAUGACGGCCUUCGGGUUGUAAACCGCUUUCUCCUGUGACGAAGCGUGAGUGACGGUAAUGGGUAAAGAAGCACCGGCUAACUACGUG
RNAcentral lists this ribosomal RNA (468 nucleotides) under uncultured bacterium. RNAcentral's name for it is "partial 16S ribosomal RNA". It matches the Rfam family "Bacterial small subunit ribosomal RNA", at positions 28 to 507 of the family's 1533-position model. The record is from RNAcentral.